UGAAGAGACAUGUGAGUCCAACUUCAUUGAAAGGGAGUGAGCUCUGUGGAUGCCCAGUACCUUACAGUUCCAACUGUAUAAAGCCAGGGGAAAGAUGUCAUUUGUAAAUGGACAGACGUGCCACCUGGAAAACAAAUGGAUAACCAUGGAAGCCAGCAGGGAAGCCAAGCCAGAAAAGGGAGCAAUUACGUGGAUGUGUGGCCACUCUGAAUGACAAGCAUAGUUCAACUGAAUGGGAGGCACUGAGCAGACCUCACAACCCAGCCCUGCUGCUUCCAGUUUCUUAGCAGAUCAUUCCAUCCACAUCAGAGCAUCUUUGAAGGCAAAAAGUGCCCAAUACCAACUGCUGGGUCCAGACCUUGCCGCAGGAAAGGUCUGACCCCGGAGCAGAUGAGCAGGAGCUUCCUUUCCAGCUGUCAGGGAGCUGUUCCCUCUGAGGUGCCUUUGAUCCCAAGGAGAGGCAUGAACUGAUGCAUUACCGUUAAGAGAACUAAUUUCGGCAGCUGCAUCUGUUUAAUUGGGUCUCUCAGCAGAACAUGACUGUAAGAGGGAGCCUGGAGGGAAGUAAGAGAUCACUCAGGGCUUCUUGUAUCCCUUCUGAGUGGUGGAGGAAAACAUUGCAUACAAGUUCUCUACAAGGCAUUUCUGCUGAGUAACACAAUGAAUCAUGAAGGACAUUUUCUAUGAGAGCUCGUGCAGCUCAGACCCAGCUAUAGGAGGAGACUGAGUUGAAAACAGAAAUAUGUUGAAAGUACAAGCACUCACUUCAUUGUUAAACAGUGGUGAUUUGUUUGUUUUACCUCCAUGUAAAGAACUUACUCCAUGGAAGAACUUACACAGGCUUAAAUGGAUAUCCAACUGAGAUGACUAAAUCCUUGAAUGAAUCUGAACACAAUUGUAAAGGGAAGUGGGAAAAGUAGCUGAGAAGGUUGGAAGAAAAGACAGCAGACUACAAGGGCACUAUGUGAGCUGAAGGAUCAAAUUAUGGGGCAAAUGAUCCCCUUCCCUGUUUCCUUAAUUUGGUUUUAAACAGUGUGCUCUGUAGAAUGUAAAAUGCAACUAUUUCUCACUUAUACUCCCACUGCCUCUAUUCACCUCAUUCUUUUCCCU
Molecule: long non-coding RNA, 1110 nt
Organism: Pezoporus occidentalis (night parrot)
Lineage: Eukaryota; Metazoa; Chordata; Aves; Psittaciformes; Psittacidae
Exons: 6
Source: RefSeq, a predicted model, not a curated record